Molecule: long non-coding RNA, 4266 nt
Organism: Equus caballus (horse)
Lineage: Eukaryota; Metazoa; Chordata; Mammalia; Perissodactyla; Equidae
Source: Ensembl
GGGGCACUAACAGGUCUUUAAGGUGUUUUAGUAUUUAAAUCAAGUCCUAGUCAUAGACUUUCUGGAACAGACUGUUUCUUACACAAACCAAAUUAGGGCAUCUAUUUAAAACAAUUGAAAGGCAAAGAAUUUUUUUUUUGUAAAUAGUGAUUUACAAAUGGAAUCAUCCCACUUCCAUCAUGACUCUUGACAGGUUAUUAAAAUAUAUGUGUUCAUGUGGUUAAUUUUUGACCCGGGAAUGGAAGAUGGAGAAACGACAGCAGUGUUGAAAAGAAGGAACAGUUGUGUACGUGUGUCUACGCACGUAAGACGGAGGACUCCCAACCUUGACUCCUUGAACACCUCCACGAAGGCAAGACCUCACCUGGGAUGGCCAUGGAGUGUCUUCGGGAGGCUGACCACUGCAGCUCGGAGCGCAGCAGAGACGCCCUAAGCACAGACAGUUUGGGCAACAAGGAACUCAGGAGGAACUGGGACAAACUGGAGAUUGGGGACCUCCCCCGGUUCUGAGACCCAAGAAUUCUCCUGCAUUCUGGUCUUAUCUUGGGAGCAGAUUCAGCCUCCAAUGACAUCUCAAAGGAAACCUUGCCCCAGACAGGUGGGAUGGGAGCUUACAGAAAAAAUGGAGUUGAUUUAAAGGAAGUGAGCAAACGCAGAGGGAAUAAUUCUGGUACCCUCGAGUUUGUGGAUGGAGAUGAAUUUCUGCUGCUGCCAUCGUGAGCACCGCCUUGGUGUUCUCCUGGUUAGGGGACUGCUCAUUUUAUGGAAGAAGUGUCUUUGAAGUGGGUGUCUGUGUGGCAUUUUUUCUGUCCCAAAGCCAAGCUGAAGUUGAUUAUGCUGGGCUGAGCCGCUAACGCCUUGCCGAGUGGCAGUGUUCCUAAGUCAGUUGAUGACACCGCAGCAAGAGCAGGAUCAGAAUCUGGAAAACCUUUGGCACACUCCCUGGAGAAGAGACGAAUAUAAGCAGAAGGGAAUCGAAUAAGGAAAGAAGCAACUCACUAAAAGAGGAAAAGUAAGUGAGGUAGCGAAGACGGACUCUGCACACAGCAUUACCACUCAGUCACUGGGUCAGAAGACAAACACAGACCGACAAUUCCAGUCAGCUCCUUGAAUUCUCAUUUCCUCUAAAUAACUCCCUGCCUCUCGUCUCACGUCUACCCGGAGAACCUCCCUUUUGAGGCUGGAAUCCACCCCAUCCUAAUGAACCCACCUCAUUUUUUUCUUCACUUGGAAAACAUCUAUUGAAUCCUUCCUGGGUGUCAGCCAUCAUGUAUACAAAGAAAACACCAUGCGACCUUCACCGUAACAGCAAAGACAGCUGGGCGGCACCUCCUCAUCUCCUUUUCUUUCUAGGCACACAGCUGCGUGGAAACGGCUAAGAGAAGUUUACUUUAGUUGCUCAAGGUCACAUAGCUGGUAAAGUUGCAGAGCGGGAGUUAAACUUAGGGUAGAACAAAGUCCAAACACAGAUGAUGGGCUCAAAAACAGACCCCUGGCCAACCGCUCCCUGUCCUGAGUCCCAGGGCUCUGAAUUUCAGCAAGGACUUCACUGGAAGGUAAACUUUGUGAGGGCCGGCCACCUCCCUGGAGUUAGGCAGUCAUGGGACUGAGUCCAGGCCCGCAUUUCCUCAUCAGUAAAGUGGGGAUGAUAACAGUACCUAUCUCUACAGGCGACGAGCCUAGAUGGGCAUGUGCUCACAUGCACCGUCACUAUUUAGUGGCUGUGGUGUUGAUAGAACUAAGACCCAUUAGCUUUAGCUAAAAUGGGCAGAAAUAGAAUGUAGGGUGUUGGAGAAACGACGCUGGGGACGAGGGAGAGGAUCCAGGGGGAGGAAGGGCGGCCCUGCUCUCAUUGCAGCCAGCUGACCCAACUCCAGGCGAUUUUGACUGAUUUAGUGCUGGUUGUUAGAUCAUCUCUUUUCUUCUUCACUGAAUUGACUGAUCUGGUGCUGCGUGAAGAGGAAUCUAAUAGCAUAGCUUCCUUUUAUUUUUGUUAAAGAAAUCUCAAGUUUGAAGGUUCAGUGCAGCACAGCGUAUUUCGGAUUUCUAGAGGCAAGGAAAUGACGGCGUGCGAUGGACCGCCCACUAAACUGUGGUCGUGAAAUUCGGCACCUGUGUUCACUUCCAUCGCUGGCCUGCACAGUGCAUUCUCUUUAAUCCCUGGAGAAUUGUAUUGGUAACACUUGUCACAUUUCCCACGGAAGUAUUUUGAGGAUUAGGUCAAAUUCUUAAAAUACUAGCAAUUUAACGAAAGACACUUACUCGAAUAGGAGAAAAAGCAGGGCAAGAGCUCUGUUUCCUGAUUUUAAGAGGAAUCCAGGAAUUAUUUGAAACGCACUUGGGCUUCUGCUCAUCUCGACUGUGAUGUGACCUUCCAGAACAGCGUUCAUGAGUCUGGAAUGUCCCAGGAUGCUUUGCCAGGAGUCGGGGUUGAAUUACCAGAAAAUCAAUGCGACACGAAGUGCACGUUUAUCUAGACAGUAAUUCAACACACACACUCACACACACUCUUCACGGUUUGUGAAGCUCCAGUUCAGGAGAAAAGGGAGUGUGCUAACCAGAGAUGGGAAGGACUCGUUUUACAAGUUGUUCUACUCUCUAUUCAUGAUAAAACACGAACUCCUCUGUUUAUAUACACACUCAGGAAAAUAGAUUCUGUAUCCUCUUUCAGAUUUUUAAGUUAAAUUAAAUUUUAGAUGGAUUUUCAUAACUCACCAUGCAAUUCCUUCAAGUCCUGCCCAGCAGCUCAUUCAUACGAGUUGCUGGUCUAAACCAUCUCCGUUUUCCCCUCCGUCUUCUUUUCUCCCGUUCCCUGUGCGUGUGCGUGCUUGUGUCCCUGUGCAUGUGUGUGAUUUCAGCAGUUUCCCCUCAGCAUCCAUCUUCGCUAGAGAUUCAGCCACACCCUUUCUGAGCGUGGGCGAGGUCCCCACAGGUCUGCUCAGGAUUCCUCCUCGCUAGGUCAGGACAUCCUUCCUUCCCUGGACCUGCCCGUUUCCACACUUUCUGCGCCUGGCUGCAAGCCCGAGACGCUUAGACUAUCUUGUGAGAUGAGUCCUUUCCGUUGCUGGUUAGAACUCUCCCUGAAAAUCCUCGUGCUGGGAAGAGAUCCCAGGGUGAAAAACUCAAAGAACUGAGGGAGCGGGAGAAAGAGCAGGAGCCUGGACAGCAGGUAGAAAGCGCUGGCCCUUCGUCGCACCCUGACUAAAUCACGGCACCUCCAACAGGUCCUGUGGAGGCCCCAGGGCCCGGACUCUCAGGAAACAGACGCUCCACCCGGAAACACACAUAUAUGUAUGCUAAGAGCCUCAACAAAGUGCAAAUGCCUGAACACAUCAGCCUCUGAGAACCCUGCGGUAGGGGACCGAUGAGCAGACGUCGUGAGGAAAGCAGCUGUGUCAGAAGUAACUAGAGGGCUCAGCAUAAAGGAAGAGGACAAGCGGACAUCACUGGCCAGUUCUUGGAGAAUUUUUGUUUAUGCAAAUUUUUUUCUAAUUAAGACAAUAAUACUUACAUAUUCCUGAAAAAUUCAGAACGUUCAGAGAAAUAUAAAAUUAAAAUUAAGUUGAUUCUACUCAGCAAUAAUUGCUGUAAACAUUACACUGGUCACACUUUUUCCUGUGUGCAUGCACACACACGCACGCACACACACACAUGUCCCCAAUAGAAUCAGAGGACACGUGGUUUUUUCCCCCUUAGCAACAUAUAAACGUCUGUCUUUCCAUAUCUAUAAAUGUAGACCCAUAUCGUUCUGGUUAGUGACCUUGUGGUUUUCACUGUGUCGAUACGCCAUAGUUAUUUAACCAAAUUCCUAGUGAUAAAUGUUCAGGUUAUUUCAAAUUGAUCAGCACUAUAAACUCUGCAGUAGUUCACAUCCUGUGUGUUCAUCCUAACACAUUUACCCAAUCUUUACGUAGGGCAGAUUUCUAGGAGUGGGACUCCUAAGUCAAAGGCUUUUAGAAAAGGCUUUUCUGCAUGCUGCCGAAUGUUCCCCCAGGAAGAUUGCACCAAUUUACCCUCCUGCCAGAAAUGCACGUGUGGGCCUGUUUCCCCACCUCUCACCAGCUCUGGAUACCCUCAGUCUUCUCAAUCAUCCCCAUCCCACAGCUGGUGCUUCUUUUGACACCGGGAUCCAUCGCCAUGCUUGACCCUUUUCAAGGGUAAGCUGGCAUGCCACUUUAUCGUUUAAAGAGCCAGCUGCCCACGGGGACAAAUCAGCCUUCUCCAUAAGCCAGCGAAUGUUUAUCCUGGUCUUCAAGGUUGAGCUAG